GUGGGGAAUAUUGGGCAAUGGGGGCAACCCUGACCCAGCGACGCCGCGUGAGGGAAGACGGCCUUCGGGUUGUAAACCUCUUUUGUACGGGAAGAAGGACGUGACGGUACCGUGCGAAUAAGUCCCGGCUAACUACGUGCCAGCAGCCGCGGUAAUACGUAGGGGACGCGCGGUGUCCGGAAUUACUGGGCGUAAAGGGCGCGCAGGCUGUAGAUCAAGUCAGCUGUGAAAUGUCUGGGCUUAACCCGGGCAUGCGGUUGAAACGGAGGUACUGGAGUGCUGGAGAGGCAAGUGGAAUUCCCAGUGUAGCGGUGAAAUGCGUAGAUAUUGGGAAGAACACCGGUGGCGAAGGCGACUUGCUGGGCAGCAACUGACGCUGAGGCGCGAAAGCCAGGGGAGCAAACGG
This 406-nucleotide ribosomal RNA is filed under the name uncultured bacterium. Its description in RNAcentral is "bacterial SSU rRNA". It matches the Rfam family "Bacterial small subunit ribosomal RNA", at positions 354 to 775 of the family's 1533-position model. The record is from RNAcentral.